This 631-nucleotide small RNA is filed under the name Arthroderma multifidum. RNAcentral's name for it is "eukaryotic LSU rRNA". The stretch from base 263 to 416 matches the Rfam family "5.8S ribosomal RNA". The record is from RNAcentral. Lineage: Eukaryota; Fungi; Ascomycota; Eurotiomycetes; Onygenales; Arthrodermataceae.
GAAAGUAAAAAGUCGUAAACAAGGUUUCCGUAGGUGAACAUGCGGAAGGAUCAUUAAUGUGUUUCGGAGCCUGGCACACCCAUCUCUACUUGGGAUGGGUGUGGCAGCGCCCCCACACGUGUUUACUGAACUUUGUUGCCUUGGUAGGCCUGCCGUUCUGGCUGCCAGGGGCGCCUAACCGUGCCCUCGGCGUGUGCCUACCAGUGGAGCAUUUGAACUCAAGAGAAGAUUGAAUGUCUGAGCAUUUAUGCAAAUUAUACAAAACUUUCAACAACGGAUCUCUUGGUUCUGGCAUCGAUGAAGAACGCAGCGAAAUGCGAUAAGUAAUGUGAAUUGCAGAAUUCCGUGAAUCAUCGAAUCUUUGAACGCACAUUGCGCCCUCUGGUAUUCCGGGGGGCAUGCCUGUUCGAGCGUCAUUGCAAACCCCUCAAGCACGGCUUGUGUGUUGGGCCACCGUCCCUCUUGUGGACGGGCCUGAAAUGCAGUGGCAGCACCGAGUUUUGGUGUCUCAGUGUAUGGGAAUCUCUAUCACUUCAAGACCCAAUCAGUGUUGAUCAUCAGAUUUUUUCUAGUUUGACCUCGGAUCAGGUAGGAGUACCCGCUGAACUUAAGCAUAUCAAUAAGCGGAGGA